RNAcentral lists this ribosomal RNA (430 nucleotides) under bacterium. Its description in RNAcentral is "partial 16S ribosomal RNA". It matches the Rfam family "Bacterial small subunit ribosomal RNA", at positions 355 to 776 of the family's 1533-position model. The record is from RNAcentral.
UGGGGAAUAUUGGACAAUGGGCGCAAGCCUGAUCCAGCCAUGCCGCGCGUGUGAAGAAGGCCUUUUGGUUGUAAAGCACUUUAAGCGAGGAGGAGGCUACUUGGAUUAAUACUCUAGGAUAGUGGACGUUACUCGCAGAAUAAGCACCGGCUAACUCUGUGCCAGCAGCCGCGGUAAUACAGAGGGUGCGAGCGUUAAUCGGAUUUACUGGGCGUAAAGCGUGCGUAGGCGGCUUUUUAAGUCGGAUGUGAAAUCCCUGAGCUUAACUUAGGAAUUGCAUUCGAUACUGGGAAGCUAGAGUAUGGGAGAGGAUGGUAGAAUUCCAGGUGUAGCGGUGAAAUGCGUAGAGAUCUGGAGGAAUACCGAUGGCGAAGGCAGCCAUCUGGCCUAAUACUGACGCUGAGGUACGAAAGCAUGGGGAGCAAACAGG